Long non-coding RNA from Helianthus annuus (common sunflower), 747 nucleotides. RefSeq lists it as uncharacterized. The transcript has 3 exons. Lineage: Eukaryota; Viridiplantae; Streptophyta; Magnoliopsida; Asterales; Asteraceae. The record is from RefSeq and is a predicted model, not a curated record.
ACUCUCCCCCUCUCUCAUUCCAUUUCCGGUAGCCGGAUUCCGACCGGCGAAGCCGGCAGAGCUGGGAAGAUGCGGCGGCGUCACAGCGGCCGACCACCGUAGACGGUGGUCCGACGAAGCUCUGGUGACCGAUUUUCGACGAGUGAAGGCGCGUACCCCCUAAACUGAACCCCCUGAUCACGAAUCCGGCAUCCGUUUUCUCCUCGGAGCAAUGGAGGUGCCCGUUCUCGUCUUCGAUAGCCAUGGUUCGAGUUCAAACCUUUUCUCCGGUUGGGUGUGUCUCCGAUGGUGCUCGGUUGUAAUGGUGAUGGUGGUGUGACACGACAACUGGUGGUGGUGGCAAAGCACCUACCGGAACCGCACCUGUGUCGGCGACAACGAAGAUGGUGGUUGUUUCGCGUUUUGUUCAGUUCCGACACCGGCUUCAAGUUCUGGUCAAUACUCGGUCAAUAUCCGAUGACGUUUCGAGCCUCGGUUUGGAUUUCGGUACGGAGGUGGUUAUCAGCCGUCAGUGGUAGCGAUGGUGGUUCCGGCUUGGGUCGGGUCUGGUUCGUUAGAUCCGAGUUAGUAUUCGAGGGCUUGGUUCACUCGGAUUCACGUCGAUUCUGUUUUAUGUCUCGGCUCGAGUUUGGUCAAAACAAUAAAUCGGUUCAGUCAAAGAUGGUCCAAGUCAGUCAACCCUGGCCAACGUCACCGUUCGGUAUCGACUCUUUUUUUUACUCGUUUCGUUUCAACCUUUUACAUGUU